RNAcentral lists this long non-coding RNA (1603 nucleotides) under Athene cunicularia (burrowing owl). RNAcentral's name for it is "lncRNA (ENSACUG00000006716.1)". Lineage: Eukaryota; Metazoa; Chordata; Aves; Strigiformes; Strigidae. The record is from RNAcentral.
CUAGCAGAUUGCAUCCUGUAUAUAAUCUCUGGUAAGAUCUAAGUUUAUUUCUUUUAUUUACCAGGUGUAUUACUCCUGUGGUGCAGUGGUGGAGUCAAUGGAAAGAGGCCUGAUUUUAUCACCAGGUUUUCCAAACAACUACUACCCAGGGACACACUGCGUUUGGCAAUUUUUCAUUCCCAUGAGAACCCAUCUUAUCUUGGAAAUUUUUGACUUUGACAUCUUUGAGAGCUCUAGUGAACCUCAACCCCCCUGGGAAGGCUUUUCAGCCCCCACUAAAACAGGAAAUAAGGACGUACCUUUUCCUGGGGAAAACCUGGACUUGGCUCUCCAUACUACAAAACCCUCUCUCCAGACCUGGAUGUCAAAGGUGGCUCAGAAUCUGAGCACAGGAGAUCAGUCAAAGGACCUUGCUAGUCAUGUGGAUGAACUUCCAGGAUCAGCCUCAAAAAAAGAUGAAGCUAAACAAGCAUCUGAAGAAAACCAGUCAAAGCAGAUGAAGGAACCCAAAGUGAUGACCAAGGCUCAGCCAGAAGAACUGCCACUCCCUGUGGCUGGUAGUGCCACAACACGGAGGCAAAAUACCAGUGGCCUGGAAAGAGAAGAAGAUUUGAAAGGGAAAAUAUUGCUUGCCCACCUUGCUGCUAGUGAGAGAGAUGAAGUUACAGUAGAGACCUGGACUCUUCCCACAACACUAUUGCCUGUGGAAAUCUCCUCCAGCCCACAGUCAGCAGUGGAUGUCUGUCCCCAUGACGUACUAUACGUUUCUGAUCUCAUCACAUUUUCCUCUCGCUUCUGUGGACCAAAUUCACCUUUAAACAAGACCAUGGUCUUUGGUUCAUCUCUGGAAAUGGUUGAGGUUAUCAUGGAACUGAUCACUACCACAGACCGGGGCCGAGGCUUUGCAAUGCUCUUUGAAUACAAGAACAUCACUGAACCUAACACUGUAGAUGCUGUGAGGCAGGAGAGAAAGGAAAACAUGAUGAUGCUGGCAAUUAUAACAGGGACCGUCUUCUUUGCACUUGCUUUGCUCUCUGCCCUCUGCAUAGCUUGGAGGCAGAGAACGUGCCCCAAAAGGAGCUCAUCCAACGCAUGCAGUGACCAGGAGAAUGGGAUCCAGAACUCCGCCGUCGAUAUCAAUGAGCUCCAGCUGGUGGUGCCAAGUCGGGAGAAUGAAAACAACAACCACUCUGUCAGCCGGGAGCAGGCGGUCCUCCUCGCUGUCUCGCCCAUGCACAGCUGGAGAGCCACUUCACAGCAGAAAGCCUUUGUUGUGGGAACUAUUCCUUGCUGCUCUCCCGCCUCGCUGGUAGGGUAAUUCCCCUGGCAAGGAGCACACACAAGCACAGCUCCAGGACGCUGCCAACAAAAGCUGUCAUAGCACAUGGCAUUGCAGAGACACUGGGUUAGCAGAGCAAAUGUGUUGGGUUCAGGCUGCUACAAACAACUUACGAGGAUCCAUAAACCAUGGAAGAGUUUCACCUGCCAUGUGCCUAACCUUGUCUGGAAAGGAUGAGUUUUACAGUGCUUACGUUGGCUUUGGACACCUUUGACUCUUGGAGCUAACUUUUUCUGAAGAACUCUAUGGAUGAGACUUCUUUGC